Long non-coding RNA from Marmota monax (woodchuck), 5567 nucleotides. RefSeq lists it as uncharacterized. NCBI's taxonomy places the organism in Eukaryota, Metazoa, Chordata, Mammalia, Rodentia, Sciuridae. The record is from RefSeq and is a predicted model, not a curated record. The transcript is spliced from 3 exons.
CAGCGACGCGAGGGAUCUAGGACCCGGGCACGCUUCCGGCGUCGCCCUGGUGACGGGUGGGGGCGGGGCCAGAACUGUCACUCAGCUCGCAUUCUGCCUGGCUGAAAAGGGCACAGGAAAAUUGAAGGUCCCUGGCUGGAGCCCACCUGGAGGUUGGCUCAAGUCAUUCUCUCCAUCUGUAGCACCCUUUCACACAGCUUAGAUGUCCUCAGCGUCCUCCCUGACUUCAAACCAACCCGCAUCUUUUGUCCAGGAGGUUUGCCAGGGUAGUUCCCAGGUACUUUCCGGGGUUCUGAAAGUCAAAAGAGAAAGAGCCUUUGAAGGUAAAGAGUGCCAGAUGACGGAACGCAAGACUGGAAGUCUGAGAAGAGCCCUGGACAACAGCCAGCAGGAAAACAAAGCCCUCAGUCCUGCAGCAGCAUGGAACUGGAUUCUGCCAACCAUCUGAAUGAGCUGGAGUAAGUAGAUUCUUCCCCAGAGCCUCCAAGUAAGAGCUCCCCUGGCCAACACCUCAGUUGCAGCUUGUGAGACCCAGAGCAGACAACCUGCGGAAUGGUGAACUGAAAAAGACAAUGGUUUAAGCCACUGAGUUUGUGGUAUUGUGUUACAGUAGCAGUAGAAAAGAAGUACCCUCGGGAGACCCAGGGCCUCCACACAGGAAGAAUCUGUUUGUUCUCCUGUUUGAUGAACACAAACCCUUCACCUCCCUCUUAUCAAAUGCUUCAUUUCUGCCUUUCCAACAGUCAUCAGGCACCUCACAGAGGAGCUGUCACUACUCCAUCCUACAAGCACUGGGCCUUGGGGUAAAAGUGAGAGGCAUGACUGGAGGAGGCCCAGCUGAGUUUGGGAAGGGCAACUGCAAGGGUGGUGGAAAGAGGGUGGUUCUCCCUUGGGCAAGGCAGGUCCAGGAACUAUGGGCUGAGUUGCAGAAUGGUACUGUGGAGAGAGGCAUGUCCCACUGGCAUGUAAAAGGGGACUACAGGGAAGACAAAGGACCUACCUAGGCGGCAAACUCAGAAGGUCUGCCCAAUAGACUCAAGGUAAGGGGAAAAUCCAAGUAGCUUCAGCGAAGUUCUCAGCCCUGAAGGAAGAGGUCUGGUGAUUGAGAAAGACGUGAAGAUGGAGGACCUGGACCAGGAGGUCAGGAGGGGUCUGGGUGGGAAGAACCAAACACUGACCACUCUCAGGCAGUCAAGGGCACCCAAGAACUGUGGCCUCCAGCGUCACAAGCCUGAAGCAAAUAUUUAUUUUGCUUCUUUUUCCCAAGACCUUAUUGUAGUGGUUGUACUUUCUUGCUUUGCACUAGAUACUGGAAAUUGAAUUGGGAUGCUCAACCACUAAGCCAUAUCCCCAGUCCUUUUUUUAUUUUUAUGAGACAGAGUCUCACUAAUUUGCUGAGGCUGGCCUCAAACUUGUGAUCCUCCUGCCUCAGUCUCCCUAGGAUUACAGACAUGUGCCACUGAGCCCAGCUCAUGUGAGUGUUCUGAGGAAUGAAUGACUGCAGUAGAGGACACCAGUUUAAGGAACCAGGGAAGAGCUACGUGGCCUGUAUAUAUUGAAAAUCUGAGGCCAGGCCCAAGAUGGGAGAAGUAGGUACCAAACAGAUCUGAAAGGAGUAGAAGAAAUUGAGCUCCAGCGUGACUGGGCUCCCUGAGCUGCUGUUAGACCAGGACGCAAGAAAAGACCAGUGACUCCAAUUAAAAUCAAAUUAAAGCAAGCUCAUUAUUUUGACCGGCCGGGCUGCCUCUCCCACCCAAAACUGUGGGAAUCAAGACAGCAACAGCAGUUUUCCUGCAGCCCAGCUUUAUAGCCCAGAAAGUUACACAAAGGGGGGUUACAGAUAACAGAACUCUGACAAGCAUCACACGAAUGGUAGUUUACAUUUUUGCUGGCCCCAACAUCAGAAUUUAUGAGGACCAUUAGAGCCUCAGAGAGGGUCGUUGUCUGGCCAGGGAAAGCCAAUAUUUAUGAGGUGUCUCUAAGUUUCAGAGAGGGCUGCUAUCUGGUCAGAGAGCCAGGCAGGGGUGAGUUCAAGGCCCGGGCAGGCAUUCCAAGCAGGUUCAGAAUUUGCAGUAAUUUACAGCAAAGCCGAAAUUAGCUUUUCAUGGCUUUGUGGCGAGAUGGCUCCCAUUUUUAAGAAAAGAUCAGGUUGGGUCUAUCAUUCCCCCCUUUUCUUAUGUGUCCCUUUCAAAUAUUUGAUAGGGUAGGAGAAGAGCACUGAGGGAAUUUUAAUCCCUCAGGCAACAGUCUCCAACUUUUUAGAACUCACCCAAAACCUGUCUCCCUGAUUUGAUCUGACUUAAUUAAUUACUUAUAUUGACAGUCUAUUUUUGGCUCCAUUGUUGUAAGAAGAGGGGCGUUGCUCGUUUUGGCUUCUUCUGAGCUGAGAGGGGGUGACGUGAGGGGGCAUGGCGUGAGGGACAUGAGCUCCCUUUUAGAAGUCAGUUUGGUUUGAAGUCUGGUUGGGGAAGAACAGGUUGUAAAGUCAUCUGGGGAUGGGUGCUUCUAUGAGAGAAACAAAAACCAUGAGUACUGCAUAAAUGUCGCAGCAGCUGGAACAUGUCACUGUGCAGAAGUUCCCUCACCAGGCCUUAACAUCCCCAGUUAUCAGGACUGUAAGUACAACAUUUAACUUUUAGGGUUACAGUUGUCCCUCCCCAUAAGGUACAGUUUAAUAAUUUAAUGUCAUCUGAUCUUGCAAAAUCCUUUUACUAGUGUGACCUCUGUGUCUAAUAGAGAAACCUUUAAUUCUGUUACUCAGGGCUGGAUAAUCAAACUAGCAAACACCAAGCCUACCUGUGUAGGUUAGGAAUAUCUGUGGGCCUUAAACUAAAAACUUCUGUCUCUGGCAGCUCCUCUUGAUAGUCUCUUUUUAUAGUUAUCAGGCAUUUCUGUCUGAGAAUCCUUCUUUUCAGCCUCCAGUCUUACUUAUUUUGGGAGGUUAACAUAAAGUGUAUACCUUAAAAUAUUAUUAUCAUUAUUAUUAUUGUCAUCAUUAUUAUUUAAAAUGCCCAGGAAUGGCUGUGUUUUUUUUUAAAGAGAGAGUGAGAGACAGAGAGAAAGAGAGAGAGUGAGAGAGAAUUUUUUAAUAUUCAUUUUUUAGUUUUCGGCAGACACAACAUCUUUGUUUGUAUGUGGUGCUGAGGAUCGAACCCGGGCCACACGCAUGCCAGGCGAGCGCGCUACCGCUUGAGCCACAUCCCCAGCCCCUGUGUUUUGGUUUUAAUGUCUUUGCUAGGUGUUUAAGAUGAAGCAGUCAAACUGACUUUUGUUUCUAUCUAUUGUUAACAGUCAGCGGAGUUUCCCUGGGAGUCCUGGGGAAACUUGAGAGCAGCUUGUCAGUUCUGCUAGUGCUAUUUGCGCUAGUAUGGGUCCAGGUCUUGCUGGACCAUGUGGCUUCCCUCAGAAGCAUCAGGGAUGUCUCCCUUCUCUGAUGACCCUCCUCUUCACAGCAAAUGCACUGAUUGGCUUUCUGUCCUCCACUGGUCUCAUUAAUCUCCCUGUUCAGGAGGUUAUGUGGCCCAGAGUUGCAAAGCUCUUUAGAGAAGUCCCCUGUUCCCUGGAUUCAGACUGACUCAGAGGGCAAGAGCCAAAUAUUGUUUUUUUUUGGCCCUUUUAAUUUAACUUUAAUUUUAAAACUUAAUCUUAAACAUCCAGCAAAUAAAUUUUAACAGCCUUAUAUUAAGAGUACUGGGCUUUAAUGUCUAUAACUUUACAAUUAUUUAUCUUUUUUAUUAAUUGGGAUCUGUAUUAUCAUAUCUGUCUUGUAGGUGAUGGCUUAUUAUCUUAAAUUAACCCAUGUUGUGUUCUUAAAGCAACACUUCUGUAAAACACUAACAGGGAAUCUUUAGACCAUUUAUAAGGAAAUUACAAAAUAAAAUUAACAAGAGUAAAAACAUUUAGUUCAUGUAAUAGCUACCCUGAAUUUUGGCUGAGUUAUACAUUAUAUCCCCUGUUUGAGAUCCUAGUAAUCUUGACAGAAAAAAACAAAAAAACAACUUUUGAACAUAACUUUAAAUGAACUAAAAUCUGGCCUACUGCUUUUGUAGUCAUUCUCACAUGUAGUAAGAUGGGACACAGAGCCUUGUUGUAAGGGUCCGGCAGACGUCGGAGGAAGAGACCACCAAGAGACCGGCUCAUGCAACAGCAAAAGGGGAUUUAUUGAGGAUCCAAUCCAGCGUGCUGGGGCUCCAAGCUCACUCAACAAGGGAGAGCGGCCCAGAGCCCAGAGCAGGGGUUGAACAGUGCUUAAGUACACUUUUUGGGGAGGGCGGGGGCUCUGCAUACAUCAGAGCAAAUCAUCAUGAGGCGCAGGAAAAUCAAACAACAACUCUCAAACUUGAUUAGCACAUUCAUUGGCAGGAACAGGUCGGGCGGGAAGGGGGGGUACAUUCAAACUGAUUGGUUUGGGCCCUGAAUGCCUACGUGCCAAACUGCACAGGGUCCUAGGUUAUUUAUCUACUGGACAGUCCCAGGAAUUGUUUUAACAGCUCCAGGAAUUUCAGGUUUUGGGGGUGUAGCAUAGGAACUUAACAAUACCUGGUCCUUUACAUUUUAACUCAGGCUUUGCAGCUUAGAAACUUUACGAUACCCGGUCUUUUACACUUUAAUUUCAAUUUCUUUUACUCUUACAUUGUCUCAGGUAAGGCAGGGCUCUUUAUAAAUCUUAAGUGUUCUAGUUCUAAAGCUGAUCUUUGCUUUUUAAAUAUCAUUUUACAAAGUUUACAUAAAUUGUUUGAGGUCACAUGAACAUUAGCUAACACCAUAUGAUAUCACAUUUAAAACAUGAAUUAAAGAAAGGCUGAAAGUUUUUAACCUUUACAUAGAUUAGGCUCUCAUUAACUUAAAAAUACAUUUAAAUUGUUCCCCAAUGUAAAAAGUAACAUAACACUUUACAUAUCUUAUUGAUAACAGGUAAAUAAAUUCCCAAUAUAUUUUUUUUACCAAACAACUUUAGAACACCAGCUUGAUAUAAUGCUCUUUAAAGCUUCUACCUUAUAGACUUGUAUACCUGGAAGAUAUGAGCACAUUAAUAGCAUCACAAUUACAUUGAUGUUUCUAUAUUAACCAAGUUUAGCUUUUAAAGAAAUGGCAGUACAAUGCUCUAAAAUAACAGUUCUUAUUUAACCAGUUGCUUAAUUUUUAUGGUUGCUUGCUCUAGAAAAAAAUAAAACUUAAUAAACACAAUGUUAUGGGUAAACUUAUGUUUUAAGAAAAUUUUGUCUUUUUAACACAUGACCGAUUGUAAAAACAAACUUAUACAAACUUAUAUAGUAAAUAAAUCAGAUAUCUAACAAAAGUACUCAUGAAUGAGUAAUCCCAUAUCAAAUUUACUUUACUUAUUUAUCAAAAUAUCAGACAAAUGUAUUGAACAGUGUUAACCAUUUUUUCUUGUUGAAAGAAAAGUCCUAGAACCAAGACAUAUUAGACAUUUUAUAGACAUUAAUAUUUUAUUAGUUUUUUUGAACACCUAGAAAAACUUGUAAGCGGGGCUGGGGAUGUGGCUCAAGCGUUAGCACGCUCGCCUGGCAUGCGUGUGGCCCGGAUUCGAUCCUCAGCACCACAUA